This 617-nucleotide long non-coding RNA is filed under the name Rattus norvegicus (Norway rat). Its description in RNAcentral is "long non-coding RNA NONRATT008177". Lineage: Eukaryota; Metazoa; Chordata; Mammalia; Rodentia; Muridae. The record is from RNAcentral.
UACCAGGCAGACUAUAUAUGAAGACAAAUACACAUAAAAUAAAAAUAAGUAAAUCUUUAAAAAUAGACUCGGCAGGGAAGACCCAUUUAGGCUACUCUGAGUAUCUGGGUGGCCUGUGCCAGCUUUGUUGAAGGUGGUGGCAGUAGAAGCUAUAAGCAGUUAAUUUGUGUCUGUUUUGACAUAGCCGACUGGAGUUAUAGAGUUCUUUGGGUUUGUUUGUGUUCGCUAUGCUGGGGAUCAAACCAAGGACUUUGUGAAAGCACUGUACAAUGGGACCACAUCCAUGACUUCAAAAGAUCAGUGUUCAGACUUGGUGAAGUGCAUGCUAAGCUGGAUGUGGCAGUGCAUACCUUUAAUCCCAACACUUGGGGGCAUGAUGUCUGAGUUCAAGGCUAGCCUAGUCUACACAGGGAGUUCCAGGACUGCAUAGAAACCCUGACUCAAUAAAAAAGAAAAGAAAAGCAGGAAAGAAAGAAAGAGAAAGAGAGAAAGAAAGAAAGAAACAAAGAAAGAAGGAAAGAAGGAAAGAAAGAAAGAAAGAAACAAACAUACAUCUGCUGUUCUUACAGAGGACCAAUUCGGUUCCCAACACACACAUGACGGCUCAGAGCUGUCUA